GUCUAUAGCCAUGCCACCCAGAAUGUGCCCAAUCUCAUCUGAUCUCAGAAGCUAAGCAGGGUUGGGCCUGGUUAGUACUUGGAUGGGAGAUUUGCUGUCUAGUUA
This is a non-coding RNA of Pongo abelii (Sumatran orangutan), 105 nucleotides long. Lineage: Eukaryota; Metazoa; Chordata; Mammalia; Primates; Hominidae. The record is from Rfam.